UACGGGGGGAGCAAGCGUUGUUCGGAUUUACUGGGCGUAAAGCGCUCGCAGGUGGUUCGAUGCGUCGUGCGUGAAAGACCCCGGCUCAACUGGGGAGUGUCGUGCGAUACGGUCGGACUGGAGGCCAGUAGGGGGAUGCGGAAUUCCGGGUGUAGUGGUGGAAUGCGUAGAGAUCCGGAGGAACACCAGCGGCGAAGGCGGCAUCCUGGACUGGUCCUGACACUCAUGAGCGAAAGCGUGGGGAGCGAUCCGG
RNAcentral lists this ribosomal RNA (253 nucleotides) under uncultured bacterium. RNAcentral's name for it is "partial 16S ribosomal RNA". It matches the Rfam family "Bacterial small subunit ribosomal RNA", at positions 524 to 776 of the family's 1533-position model. The record is from RNAcentral.